This is a long non-coding RNA of Rhea pennata, 1163 nucleotides long. RefSeq lists it as uncharacterized. The transcript has 3 exons. Lineage: Eukaryota; Metazoa; Chordata; Aves; Rheiformes; Rheidae. The record is from RefSeq and is a predicted model, not a curated record.
GAGCCGGGCAGGGCGCUCCGCUGCGGCCGGGCAGCGGUCGUCGUCCAGGCGCCGAGCAGCGGCUUCUGUCGCCCCAGUCGUGGCUGGAGCAGCGAAAAGGUGACUGGAAAAAUCAUGCGGGGAUCGCACCGAGGUGCCCCCCAACCCCACCCCGCGCUUCGGUGGUGAGAAACACGCAGCUCUCGAAAGGCUCCUAGCGAAAUGUCUUCGUCUCCCCCGCGACACGCGCGCCUUGAAACUUGUUGCCAGCUGGGGCUGCCCUGUGGAGGGAUUUCUGACUGAGGGACCUAAAUCUGCAGUCGUGCAAAAAUUAACUGCAGGAGUAUAAUUCUGGAAGACGCCUUAGGCGAUUGGUAGUCCGGUAAUUUCGACACCGCCGUUUUACGGAAUACGGACGGAUCUCUUGUGGCCUUACACAGUCGGAAAAGGCUUCCGAGCGCCCCGCGAAGUCCGGUGCCGUAGCCGGCCGGUCACGGCCUCCCGCACGCCUCCCCGGCGCUUACCACGAGGGACCUUGUGCCUUUCUUGAACGAUGCGUUUCAAGGGGCAAAACUUGUUUUAAUUGCGGCUGGGUCGGGGUCAUCUCUAAAUGAGCUUAAUGCUGGGGUCUGACCUCUCGGCUGGGAAAGGGCACUGGGGUUUUUGUGUGCAACUGCUCUGCAUUUCCCACUCUGCUGAGACACUUCGUGAUGAACUUGCGUGGAGACCGGGUGGUUAAUUUAGCAGCUGCAGUGCAGGCCCUGGGGCAGAAACGUGGGGAUCCCACCUGCGCUGAGAGAAGUGAAAGCCAGUGCUCUCCAGUGGCUUCCCUUCCUCUUAAGGUCUGAAUUUUGGCAGUGCUGCAAGCUGGAUCCGCAGGAUAACAUUACGCUGCCUGAAAGAGCAGAGUGUGACUCAGAAUAUCAGAGGGAGAUUUCCAGUUGUCCAGCAGAAAGCAUGGAUGUCUGCUAUCCUCUUCCCCUUUGGCUUUUGCCUAAAGAGAGUAAUGUAGACCUUCUUCUCAUACUUAUUCUGUGGAGACAAGCUGUGCUGGAGCAUUAUUUCUACCGUGGGAGAAAGGGUAUGUUGACUUCUUGUCACUAUUUCUGUGUGGCUGAAAGAGUAUGCAUAUGUAUACUAGAAUAAAAAUGCCUCUUUACAUUUGCAUUAGGGUGGAUUUGGCA